RNAcentral lists this ribosomal RNA (394 nucleotides) under uncultured Erysipelothrix sp. RNAcentral describes it as "bacterial SSU rRNA". It matches the Rfam family "Bacterial small subunit ribosomal RNA", at positions 984 to 1382 of the family's 1533-position model. Lineage: Bacteria; Bacillati; Bacillota; Erysipelotrichia; Erysipelotrichales; Erysipelotrichaceae. The record is from RNAcentral.
ACAUACUCGGCAAAGCUCUAGAGAUAGAGUGGAGGUUAUUCCGGGGAUACAGGUGGUGCAUGGUUGUCGUCAGCUCGUGUCGUGAGAUGUUGGUUAAGUCCCGCAACGAGCGCAACCCUUGUCUUUAGUUACCAUCAUUCAGUUGGGACUCUAGAGAGACUGCCGGUGAUAAACCGGAGGAAGGUGGGGAAUGACGUCAAAUCAUCAUGCCCCUUAUGGCCUGGGCUACAAACGUAAUACAAUGGCGUAUACAAAGGGAUGCGAAAGGGCGACCUGGAGCAAAACUCACAAAGUACGUCUCAGUUCAGAUUGGAGUCUGCAACUCGACUCCAUGAAGGCGGAAUCGCUAGUAAUCGCGGAUCAGCAUGCCGCGGUGAAUACGUUCUCGGGGUUU